GAUGAACGCUAGCUACAGGCUUAACACAUGCAAGUCGAGGGGAAACGACAUCGAAAGCUUGCUUUUGAUGGGCGUCGACCGGCGCACGGGUGAGUAACGCGUAUCCAACCUGCCCACCACUUGGGGAUAACCUUGCGAAAGUAAGACUAAUACCCAAUGAUAUCCCACGAAGACAUCUGAAUGGGAUUAAAGAUUUAUCGGUGAUGGAUGGGGAUGCGUCUGAUUAGCUUGUUGGCGGGGUAACGGCCCACCAAGGCAACGAUCAGUAGGGGUUCUGAGAGGAAGGUCCCCCACAUUGGAACUGAGACACGGUCCAAACGCCUACGGGAGGCAGCAGUGAGGAAUAUUGGUCAAUGGGCGAGAGCCUGAACCAGCCAAGUAGCGUGCAGGAAGACGGCCCUAUGGGUUGUAAACUGCUUUUAUAAGGGAAUAAAGUGGGUCACGUGUGACUUUUUGCAUGUACCUUAUGAAUAAGGACCGGCUAAUUCCGUG
Molecule: ribosomal RNA, 492 nt
Filed under: uncultured bacterium
Lineage: Bacteria
Description: partial 16S ribosomal RNA
Rfam family: Bacterial small subunit ribosomal RNA
Source: RNAcentral